GAGUUUGAUCGUGGCUCAGAGUGAACGCUGGCGGCAGGCCUAACACAUGCAAGUCGAACGGCAGCACAGCAGUAGCAAUACUGUGGGUGGCGAGUGGCGGACGGGUGAGGAAUACAUGGGAAUCUGCCCUGUCGUGGGGGAUAACGUAGGGAAACUUACGCUAAUACCGCAUACGACCGAGAGGUGAAAGCGGCGGACCGCAAGGCGUCGCGCGAUUGGAUGAGCCCAUGUCGGAUUAGCUAGUUGGCGGGGUAAAGGCCCACCAAGGCGACGAUCCGUAGCUGGUCUGAGAGGGCGGACGGCCACACUGGGACUGAGACACGGCCCAGACUCCUACGGGAGGCAGCAGUGGGGAAUUUUUCGCAAUGGGCGAAAGCCUGACGAAGCAACGCCGCGUGGAGGAUGAAGGCCUU
Molecule: ribosomal RNA, 413 nt
Filed under: uncultured Gammaproteobacteria bacterium
Lineage: Bacteria; Pseudomonadati; Pseudomonadota; Gammaproteobacteria
Description: bacterial SSU rRNA
Rfam family: Bacterial small subunit ribosomal RNA
Source: RNAcentral